AAAAAGAAAAGAGGAGGGUGCAAAAUCAAAAGCAAAAUCAAAAGAAAGAAAAAGAAAGAAAGAAAGAAACAAAAGAAAAUAGCACCCUCAAAGUCCCAAGUUGGCUGAUGCUGAAUUCGAUCGAAAAGAAGAGAUCAACUGCCAUGUGUCAUGGUCAAGUUAUAUCAGCAGAGAGUGAAGAAAGCACGCGUUAAGAAGGUCAAAC
This 205-nucleotide long non-coding RNA is filed under the name Lathyrus oleraceus (garden pea). RNAcentral describes it as "Pisum sativum (pea) long non-coding RNA (PSAT_LNC041554)". The record is from RNAcentral. Lineage: Eukaryota; Viridiplantae; Streptophyta; Magnoliopsida; Fabales; Fabaceae.